This is a non-coding RNA of Misgurnus anguillicaudatus (oriental weatherfish), 642 nucleotides long. The record is from RefSeq and is a predicted model, not a curated record. Lineage: Eukaryota; Metazoa; Chordata; Actinopteri; Cypriniformes; Cobitidae.
UGUAAAAAAUUUCUGUAAAUUUACAUGGAAAUUCAACAGCAAAAUGCUGUUUUCGUGUAAUAACAGUAAGUUGCUGUUUUUUACAGUGCAUUGUGGGUAGACUUUCUCACUUCAGGUCGGUUGUCGAGCAACAACAGAAUGUCACUGUUAUUUAACGGUAUUAUAGCAUAUUUUUCGUUGUGCACGCCAUUUUGGAUUGUCUGCAUGAGGUAGGUCUGCAACUUUAUCGGUGCUUGUGCUAUUUUAAAAUUACAUAUUACUUUUAAAUAUUGCAUUUUAUUCGGUAAAGCUUUUAAAAAAUAAAUCAGAUUCCAUUUCCUAUUUUAAUCAGGCAAAGCAGGUAUUCUACCAUCACAUCAGUUACACUUACAUCAGAUCACAGGUAUAUUUUGGUGCUAUUUUGGUCCCUAUUCCCUUUUCGUGCAUUGUAUAGACCAACAAAUAUUACAGAUUAAGAUGUCUGCCACUCCUGCUGACUUUGAGAAGACUAGUAACUUGUAACACCUCGUUUGAUCCUGUUUGGUGAUUCUCAGGGACAAUGGAUUAAACAAUGGAUGAUCAGCCUGAAAGCCAAAAGGGUGUUCAGCCAACGUGUCUCACUGGACUUGCUGCAUUGUUUUCUUUGUAUUACAUCUUCAACUU